AUUGAACGCUGGCGGCAUGCCUAACACAUGCAAGUCGAACGGCAGCAUGAUAAAGGUUGGCUGUUAGGUGGGGCGAGGGGGGGAGGUGAGUGGUAUACCGCGAAGUGUACUGUUGCGUGGGAGAACACGUAGGGAGACUGACUCUUAUACCACAUAACACCUGCGUGUGAAAGCGGGGGAGCUUCGGACCUUGCGCUAGUGGAGGAGGCGAUGUCGGAUUAGCUAGUUGGCGGGGUAAAGGCCCACCAAGGCGACGAUCAGUAGCUGGUCUGAGAGGAUGAUCAGCCACACUGGAACUGAGACACGGCCCAGACUCCUACGGGAGGCAGCAGUGGGGAAUUUUGGACAAUGGGCGAAAGCCUGAUCCAGCAAUGCCGCGUGGGUGAAGAAGGCCUUCGGGUUGUAAAGCACUUUUGUUGGGAAAGAAAUGCAGCAGGUUAAUACCUCGCUGUUAUGACGGUACCCAAAGAAUAAGCACCGGCUAACUUCGUG
RNAcentral lists this ribosomal RNA (492 nucleotides) under uncultured bacterium. RNAcentral's name for it is "partial 16S ribosomal RNA". It matches the Rfam family "Bacterial small subunit ribosomal RNA", at positions 30 to 507 of the family's 1533-position model. The record is from RNAcentral.